This 3419-nucleotide long non-coding RNA is filed under the name Callithrix jacchus (white-tufted-ear marmoset). Its description in RNAcentral is "lncRNA (ENSCJAG00000069777.1)". Lineage: Eukaryota; Metazoa; Chordata; Mammalia; Primates; Cebidae. The record is from RNAcentral.
GUCACUAGAGUGAAUUGGCAACCAACAGAAUGGGAAAAAAUUUUUGCAGUUUACCCAUCUGACAAAGGGCUGAUAUCCAGAAUUUACAAAGAACUCAAAUAGACUUACAAGAAAAAACCAAAAUCAUUUUAAAAGCAAAUUCUUCCAUGAACCCUUUUUGGAUUCUCCUAACCAGACAGGACCUCUCCUUACUUUGAACCUUGAAUCUCUGGUGGUGUUAUCAUGUUCUAUGCUAGAAAAAGCAGACAUUAUCAUUCACAUCUCCUCUAGCACAGGAGUUAAGAGCUUGCAUCCUGAAGGCUCCCCCAAUACCCUCCCCAGAAAAAAAAAGUUCAAACCCCAUAUCUGAUUCUUACUACCAAGUUGUUCUUGGGCAAGUCAUCUAUCUUCUCUAAGCCUCAAUUUUGUCUUCAAACGAGAUUAAGAUCUCAUAUGUGAAGAGCUGCAUUCCAUGAAAUGUUAGUUAUUAUCACUACUUGUCCUCACAACUAGAUUAGAAGCAAGUUUAUCUCCGAAAUUCAUUUUUUAAAAUCCAAUGCAAGAUCCAAACCAUCAGUUAAAACUGCAAGCAAUGUCCUAUAUGUAUAAAAUAUAUGAUUGUCUGCAGUACACUAGAACCAGAUGUUAAAAUAGUUUAUUACAGCGUAGGAUGCUCAAAAGAUUGUAAGUGAAAAGGCGAGAUACAUGUAACAUAAAAAGAAGGCCAUUUAUCCUAAUAUUAGUGCUUUUAUUCCUUAGUCAUAGUGUUACUCACAUACUUUUCCCUUCCUGUUUUUCGAAAUAUUCCAUAAAACAUGAGUUCCUUUAAAAAUGUUUUUUAAGUGUUUCAUACCCAGUGUUGAAAUGUCUAUAAGAGUAACCACAGAGGCUGGGAGCGGUGGCUCACGCCUGUAAUCCCAGCACUUUGGGAGGCCAACGCAGGCAGAUCACAAGGUCGAGAGAUUGAGACCAUCCUAGCCAACAUGAUGAAACACCAUCUCUACUAAAAAUAUAAAAAAAAUUAGCUGGGUGUGGUAGUAUGCACCUGUAGUCCCAGCUACUCAGGAGACUGAAGCAGGAGAAUUGCUUGAACCCAGGAGGUGGAGGUUGCAGUGAGCCAAGAUCAUGCCACUGCACUCCAACCUGGGUGACAGAGUGAGACUCUGUCUCAAACAAACAAAAAAAAGAAUAACCACAGAAUGUAUUUAAUUGAAAAUUAAAGUCCUCCUUGAAUACAAUAUAAUGCUGUAUUAGAAAAUUGAGAGAAACUGUCAUAAAGUCAUGUGUAUUUGUAAAUUGACCCACCUAAUGUUGCAGUCAGUCCAAUUUCCAUGUGUACAGUGACCUUGAAAUGUUAUUUGUCAUGGCUCUCUUCAGAGGAAGAAAGUAAAAGGUAUUAGGAAAAGAACUGACAGCCAGGCACAGUGGCUCCAGCCUGUAAUCCCAACACUUUGGGAGGCCAUGGCAGGCAAAUCGUUUGACGUCAGGAAUUCAAGACCAGCCUGGCCAACAUGGUAAAACCCCAUCUCUACACAAAAAUUAGCCGGGCAUGGUGCUGCAUGCCUGUGAUCCCAGCUACUCAGGAAGGUGAGGCAAGGAGAACUGCUUGAACCCAUGAAGCGGAGGUUGCAGUGAGCUGAGAUCAUGCCACCGCUCUCUAUCCUGGGUGACAGAGCAAGACUCCAUCUCAAAAAAAAAAAAAAAAAAAACCUGUAAGGGGAAGAGGGGAAAAAUAAAUCUAUAAACUUCUGUUUUGCAUUUUUUUUAAAGCCUAUCUCAAUUACAUCCUUGGCUCUUUAAAACAUAUCUUUAAAUAUUUAAUUUUCACAAAAAGUAUUAUAGAGGGUCAUACAUAUUUUUAAAUAUUUAAUUUUCACAAAAAGUUUUAUAGAGGGUCAUACAUAUUUUUAAAUAUUUAAUUUUCACAAAAAGUUUUAUAGAGGGUCAUAUCUUGAGCUUCUGCUUCCUUGAGACCAAAUGAUUCCUUACAUUAACCAAGUUACACUGUGAAUCACAAGUAAGUCCUAUUCUCAUAAAAUGUCAGCUAAAUAUAAAUUGUAUUUGUUUCUAUAAACAUUUAUGUUUAAGUGUAUGAUACAGUAAUCAUGAUCCUUAAUCUUAACCCACACUUUUCAAAAAUAAUAAAGUAAACCUAAUUAAUUUCCCAUGCAAUACACUGAAAGGUACUCAUGCUAGCUUCCCCAAAUUCACAAAUUAUAAACUCUUUGCAAUCUGCAGCUCAAAUACUAUGAUGUGAGGAAACUGAGAUGUAGUAUGUGUUCUGCAUAUGUAAAGACAGUAAACUGGCACAUCAGCACCGGAGCUGGCAGUGUUUGGCUGGUCAGUCCCCUGGUUUUCCAGGGUGAUAAUAGAUUUGCAUAGAUUUAACUUCCCUGUUUGGUCCAGACCCUUGGAGGAUGGCAGCAUGCACCUGGAGUGGGCGUGAGCUACAAGAACAGAGCAGAAAAUGCAAAGCUGACUGUCUCACCUGGUGACUGACUGACUGACUGGUCAUGAACUUGGUCUCCAUUUGUUUAGUUUCUCACCAGCUGAGCUAACUCACCUUUAAGGUUGAGUUACACAAGCAUUUGCUCAAAGCAGAAACAAUAAAACAAAUUCACCAAAGCAAUUGCCUUUAGACAUGAGGAUUUCAAAGGCCUCAAGGUAGGCAACUAGUAAUGCCAUCAUCUGGCAAAAAAGGCACCAGAAGGGCAAUCUAGAACCCUGGGAUUUUGUCCUUGUUGUCAUUAUACAACAUAAUAAGUCACAAUUACCAGUUACUUCAUUUGUAGAAUGUAAAGCUGAUCUUGACACUUCUAAGAGCCCUUCCAAUUUUGAACUACUAAUAAUUUGUAUUCUUGUCAAAAUGAUAUAAAUCAUAAACAUUUUUUUAAAUCUAGAUUUUUUUUUAACACGUGACAAAGAGCUGCUAAAAUGUUCUAAGAUAAAACAAAAUAAAAUGAGCCUGCCCUUUUGAAACAAAAGUCUCUAAGAGUAACAAUGGGAAAAUAACUAUACAAAACAUCCUCAAGCUGUUUUCCCUCAUCUAAAAUGAGACAGGAUUGCCCAGACAAUGUGGAAUCUAAUUUCUUAAACUAAUUAUUCUAUUGCAGCACUGCAGUAUUGGUGCAAGAUUUUAAAAAUACAAUGUCAAGGUAAUUUUCAUAUAUCAUCUAGAAAUAUAACUUACUCCCUUUCCUCUCCUUUACUGUUAAAAAUCCUUGCACAAGUGUAAAAGUGAAACCAGAAUUUCAUCUAAUAAAUGUCUGUCUUCACUUUAUGGUGCUGCUCUGAAAGCUGGAUGACUGAAUUUGGGAGCAGGAAGAAGCAUGUGCAAAAUUGUUUUUAACCUUACAAAUCCUCAUGAUGUCUCCUUUAGUGUAGUCUUGGGAGAAAAAUUAAAAUGGAAUGCAGAAAUUAUAUGAAAGAGUCACAGUCUA